Molecule: Y RNA, 113 nt
Filed under: Cebus imitator (Panamanian white-faced capuchin)
Lineage: Eukaryota; Metazoa; Chordata; Mammalia; Primates; Cebidae
Description: Y RNA (ENSCCAG00000007304.1)
Rfam family: Y RNA
About the family: Y RNAs are components of the Ro ribonucleoprotein particle (Ro RNP), in association with Ro60 and La proteins. The Y RNAs and Ro60 and La proteins are well conserved, but the function of the Ro RNP is not known. In humans the RNA component can be one of four small RNAs -- hY1, hY3, hY4 and hY5.
Source: Rfam by way of RNAcentral
GGCUGGUCUGAAGGUAGUGAGUUAUCUCAAUUGAUUGUUCACAGUCAGUUACAGAUCGAACUCCUUGUUCUACUCUUUCCCCCCUUCUCAUUACUGCACUUGACUAGUCUUUA